Cyanistes caeruleus (blue tit) is the source of this 462-nucleotide long non-coding RNA. RefSeq lists it as uncharacterized. The record is from RefSeq and is a predicted model, not a curated record. NCBI's taxonomy places the organism in Eukaryota, Metazoa, Chordata, Aves, Passeriformes, Paridae.
UACAGAGAAAGCCUUGAGCUCCUCUUGUGUGUUCCUCAUGCUCUGCAUUGUGUACAAACAUUUCAGGUGUGGUACAUUGUAGCCAACACCUCCUGAAGCUGACUGAGGGAUCCCAUUAGUGCUCAUUUCCUCAUGUUUUGGCACAGCAUUCCAUUGCUCUUCACUGUCUGCAGUUGCAACUUCAGUGUCCUUGGAGAGACAGUCUUCUACAAGAGUGCAUCAACUCCUUCUCAAACAGAACUUAUUCUGGAAGAUUCCAGGGACAAACCAGUAAUGGAGGACAUGCAUCAGCAGCAUUAGGAAGAAAAAGACAAAUCAUGGGAACUAUGGUAUCUCCAAAGUACAGCAUAUGACUAUUGAAUCACAGAUCAACCACAAUACAUCUCAGAAGAAUGUCACAUAUCACUGGAAAAUAAAUGUAACUUCUGCAAGCAAAAGAGAUUAAAGGCAGUGCAAACUUCA